GUACGGGUGCGGAACACGUGUGCACUGCCUUUAUCUGGGGGAUAGCCUUUCGAAAGGAAGAUUAAUACCCCAUAAUAUGUUGAAUGGCAUCAUUCGACAUUGAAAACUCCGGUGGAUAGAGAUGGGCACGCGCAAGAUUAGAUAGUUGGUGAGGUAACGGCUCACCAAGUCUACGAUCUUUAGGGGGCCUGAGAGGGUGAUCCCCCACACUGGUACUGAGACACGGACCAGACUCCUACGGGAGGCAGCAGUGAGGAAUAUUGGACAAUGGGUGAGAGCCUGAUCCAGCCAUCCCGCGUGAAGGACGACUGCCCUAUGGGUUGUAAACUUCUUUUGUAUAGGGAUAAACCUACCCUCGUGAGGGUAGCUGAAGGUACUAUACGAAUAAGCACCGGUAACUCCGUGCCAGCAGCCGCGGUAAUACGGAGGGUGCAAGCGUUAUCCGGAUUAAUGGGGUUUACAGGGGUCCGUAGGCGGGAUCUGUAAGUCAAGUGGUGAAUCUCACAGUUUAAUUGUGAAAUUGGCCAUUGGAUACUUGGCAGGGUCUUGGAGUGGUGGUUGGAANGUAGUUGGAAUAAGGUAAGUGUAAGGGUGAAAUGG
Molecule: ribosomal RNA, 600 nt
Filed under: uncultured bacterium
Lineage: Bacteria
Description: bacterial SSU rRNA
Rfam family: Bacterial small subunit ribosomal RNA
Source: RNAcentral